AUUUCGAGCUCCAGAGCACCCUCCAUAAUGAUCAGCAUUUAGUGGGGCGAUUUGGGGGGAUUUGUUGAGGCCGUCUUAUGGCCUGCCACGUGGCGAACCCCAGCUCGUCUGAUCAUUUAGGCUACCUGAUCAAGGCCACUGCAGUGGCCUAUAUAAAGCCUAGAAAAGGGGGGUCCAGGAUCGUUGCUUGAACCCUCCCCCACACUUCUGGUUUUCUUCCUUCAGCCGCCAUUGUCGUGGUGUUGGAGCUUUCUUCCGGGCACUAUGGGAGCUUUCUAUCAACCUUUGCACCGGGCGUUGCUUUCUCCUCCCGGCGGGCAUUCUCCUUCUUUGCUUGACCACCCUUUCCGGUGAGCUUUCGGGUAAGUAUUUUAUCCCUCCUUUCGGUCGCUCGGAGAGUGAUAAGUGCUAAAUAAUGUAUAAAUUAAUAUCUUAUUAAUAACACUUAUCAUUAUUUUAAUUCACAUAUUUUGUAAAUUUAACUAAAAAAAUGUGUUGCCUUCAUCAUUGCAUUUUAAUAAAUUAAAGGUGUGUUUUACUUAUUUAUUUACUGGUCAAGUUUAAUGUGUGCAGGUCGCGUUUGCAGCUGAACCCAUGUCCAUGUCACCCUUUAAGUGCUUAGAGAUCAAGCUUCCACGUCAUCCCUUUCCUCCCCUGUUUUAAGCUUCAAAACAGAGUCAACCCCAAUCCUCUUUUCAUCACGAAUCAUAGCCACGUCUGUUGAGUCCAGCAUCCACCACCCCAGCUCUUUCGAAGCCCCUGCAUCCCAACUCAUCUCUCAUCCUAUUCUUCGGAUCAAGCUAGUGAACCCGAAUCCCAGCCGCAUCCAACCAUCGGCAGCAUCCCAAAAUCAGAUCUCAGCCUUCCUUAUCCCAUGUUCUUAGCUUCCGCAUCCCCUGCAUCCGAAAACAAGUUCGUCUUCUCUGAAAAUCAAGCAGCCCAGCAUCUGCGAUCGAUCCCAUGUGAAGUCUCGGAUCCCGCUCCACGGACGAAGAUCACGCAUGCAUGACCUCCGCAUCCCACAUCCCGUUCGUGAUCUUCUCCUCUCCCGUUCGCGAUGACCUUCAACCACCCACGGAUAACUCCCAGUCGAUUCUAGCUCUCUCUUCCAUCCUUAUUCAGCCAAAUCUCCUGCAUCCCAGAUCAGCCCUUCCUCCCAACUUCCGAAUCCAAACUCCAUCCCAUCUAUGUUUGUUCCCAGCAUCUUCCUUCUCCCUUGAUUCAUCCUUAUCUUCCCAAUUCUUCCGGCAUCCCUUCUCAGCCGUGAACACCAUCCCGCGUUUCCCACAACGUCCACAUCUUCUUCUGCUUCUGAAC
This 1317-nucleotide long non-coding RNA is filed under the name Phoenix dactylifera (date palm). RNAcentral's name for it is "long non-coding RNA (PDAC_LNC000872)". The record is from RNAcentral. Lineage: Eukaryota; Viridiplantae; Streptophyta; Magnoliopsida; Arecales; Arecaceae.